This is a long non-coding RNA of Protopterus annectens (West African lungfish), 544 nucleotides long. RefSeq lists it as uncharacterized. The record is from RefSeq and is a predicted model, not a curated record. Lineage: Eukaryota; Metazoa; Chordata; Ceratodontiformes; Protopteridae. The transcript has 2 exons.
AGCAUUUUAAGCACUUCCUGUCUUCCUCCUUGUCAAAAACAGAUCUUAGAAGCCAUAAAAUGUCAGGAAACAAGUGCAGGAGAUCAAGAUAAGGAAAAACAAAUAGUUUUAUUGCUCAGGAAAAGGCUAAAGCUUCACAAAUGCAAACAAAGGAUUACCCAGUCCUCGAAGCACAGUAAACAAUGAAUCUAGCCUCAGCAACAUGCCAGUCCCAGCAAAAGUUCAAUUCAAGUCUCUGAUACAGCUUACUACAUCCUGCAAAGAAAUCUCAAAUAUUUUCCAUCAUUUUGGCUCAGCAUGUCUACAUUUCAGCCACCAAGAUCUCUACAUCUGCAUGGUAACUUGUGUAAGAACUGGAAAUUAAGGACUGAAAAGUCUGAGUGCUUGAUUUCUCUAGAAGUGGAAUCACAGACAAGUUGAACAAAAUCCAAUGUAUUAUGUUCCUACAUACUGCAGUGUUUAACAUUUUACCAUUAAUAGGAAGAAAAAGCAUGCUAUCAGUCAGGAAAAGGAAAUAAAAUGGAUAUUGUGAGACAAAGCAAAA